RNAcentral lists this long non-coding RNA (1402 nucleotides) under Solanum tuberosum (potato). RNAcentral's name for it is "long non-coding RNA (STUB_LNC008074)". The record is from RNAcentral. Lineage: Eukaryota; Viridiplantae; Streptophyta; Magnoliopsida; Solanales; Solanaceae.
CUUGUGUUCUGAUCUUUUCACCAAGUGGAAAACCAUAUUCUUAUGACUCCACAAACAUAAAAAAAUAAUUAAUAAUUUUUUGAAUUGAAAUCACACGAUCGUCGACACGAUCAUGCAGAUGUGGGAAAAUAAAAUGUGUGUGAGGCAUUUGAUGAUCAUCUGUCUCUUUCAUUUGCAAAAUCAAGAACUAAAUGGCCUACAAUAUGAGUAGACUAGUUAAAUCUCAAUUCUACUCUAAUUUUAAUUCUAAGAAUCUCUUGAUUUAUAUGCAUAACUUUCAAAAAAUACAACAUGCUUGUUGGAUUGACUUUGUUCAUUACCAGUUAAUUUGAUAAGGGAUUAGCAUACGCUCAAAGGAACAAGAUUUAUGGUAAUUCCCAGGAUUUUAAACAAAUACCUGAGUAUCCUUGAGACUUUUUAUUAUUAAAAUAAAAAUGAGAACUUUUUGUUUUUAUUGUCUCUUGAAAAUUUUCUAGUGCUAGUUUUCAUUUAGCUCUCAUCAGGCCUCUAAAACAGCUUGGUGGUUGUGAUGGAGAGCUAUUAAAGACUUCGCCCUAUUAAUAGAUUGAUCAUUUACUUGUUAUAGAGUUUUCAUACUUCAAUGUUAUAUGGAUACAACUCUGCAUGAUUGCCAACUUUCACUUUGAAUCUGUUGAUCAACUGUUUGCCCUUGUUCCCUCAUUUAAGCUAUGGACUCUACUAUUAUGGAUAUUUAUUUUUCUUUAAUGACAUUUCAAUAGUUGAGAUUGUUUGGGUGUUGAAGUUGCUUCCAAUUGUUGCUAUUAAUUGAAUUUUAAGUUUGACUAGAUAGGACGAUAAAAGAUAUAAUUAAUUCCUUAAGGAAUCUUCUACAUAUGUUCAUACUAACAAAGGACGGGAGGAAACCAUAAUUGUUUUUUAAAUUGUUUCCUUCGACGAUGAAAAUUGUUUAUGCUCAUUUCUGUACAAAGAGCUAAGAUAUGACUAUUGUUGUUAGUUUAACUUACAUUGUGAAAAACUGCAGAUUAAACAGAGCAAGCUGAGAGUUCCCCUCGAGAAUGUCUUGGUUGAACUAGCAAAACUUAGAAGGGCAUCAUAUAUUGAUCAAGAAGAGCAUUCUAUGGUAAUGCCUGCAUUUUAGUUUUGUCUGCCAGAAGAUGAUUUUUUUAAGUUAGUUUACUUAAAGUCGUCUUGUACGCUAAAUGUAGGUAUUUGUACAGAGGGUUAUGUGUAUCUCUCUAAAAGUAAUGUCCAACAAUUUAGCAGCCAGCAACUCAUGUUGUUUUUAUUCUAAUAAUAUAGUUGAGCAGCCAACAACUUUGCUUGUGUAGAAAAAUGGAAACAAAGACUUGAAUGAAUGUAGCAUUAUUCUUGUGUUAAUGCAAAAGCUUUCAGUCAAAUGAUUGAAAUAGUUUAGACCCUA